This 254-nucleotide ribosomal RNA is filed under the name uncultured bacterium. RNAcentral's name for it is "partial 16S ribosomal RNA". It matches the Rfam family "Bacterial small subunit ribosomal RNA", at positions 524 to 776 of the family's 1533-position model. The record is from RNAcentral.
UACAGAGGGUGCGAGCGUUGUCCGGAAUCACUGGGCGUAAAGGGCGCGUAGGCGGCGCGGUAAGCGUGCGGUGAAAGCCCGGGGCUCAACCCCGGGUCGGCCGUGCGGACUGCCGGGCUGGAGCACUGUAGAGGCAGGUGGGAAUUCCGGGUGUAGCGGUGGAAUGCGUAGAGAUCCGGAAGAACACCGGUGGCGAAGGCGGCCUGCUGGGCAGUAGCUGACGCUGAAGCGCGACAGCGUGGGGAGCAAACAGG